GGCAGAUAAAGCUCGAUUUUAAGCCAGAUUGAUACAGCCGUAACGUCAUUCACGAUUAGGUAAAUAAAUUAGAAUAUCGUCCGCAGAGUUUCAAUCUUCAACGGUGUGAGGAUCACUAUAGAGCAAGUGACUUUCAAAAAGUACUCAGCAGACUCGCCAUCGUUGAUAGAAUAUGACCGGUAUCGAGAUCUUCGGGCAAGCUAAUCUGGAAUUGUAGUAGCACCACUAAUAAUGAAUUAAAAACAACGUGCCGAUUUAAAUAGUGUUCUAUUAACAUCAAAGAAUCCACCAAGAGACAUGCUGGUCUCGCUCAUUUCUGUUGCACGUAAGAACAUUUGAAUCUGAAAA
This is a long non-coding RNA of Photinus pyralis (common eastern firefly), 348 nucleotides long. RefSeq lists it as uncharacterized. Lineage: Eukaryota; Metazoa; Arthropoda; Insecta; Coleoptera; Lampyridae. The record is from RefSeq and is a predicted model, not a curated record. The transcript is spliced from 3 exons.